RNAcentral lists this long non-coding RNA (726 nucleotides) under Vulpes vulpes (red fox). RNAcentral's name for it is "lncRNA (ENSVVUG00000010931.1)". Lineage: Eukaryota; Metazoa; Chordata; Mammalia; Carnivora; Canidae. The record is from RNAcentral.
GGGUAGUGUUCUAAGUUGCUAAGACCAUGAUGAUUUGUCAAGGCAGCAAUAGAAAAGUAAUAUGUCUGGAUUAUAACCAAAAUAUUGUCUUACAUUUAAGUGAUAAUGUUAUAAUUUGUCUUUUUUAAAAGAUAUUGUACACAUUUUUGAUAAACACCACUGAAUAUACAAUAUACAUGUUGUAUAUACACAUACACAUAUCUAGGCAGACCUGUUUCUAAAGAAGUUUUCUCCCUCAAAAAUGUUUCUUCAGGACAAACUCCUUGGACAUCAGUGCAAGCAACGACAGGAAAAUGGAAGUUCAUUCGUAUUUUAAGAAAAUGAAUGUAAUUUGAAUUGAAGGCGGUAUUGUGAGUAUAUGAGGAGGAGUCCUCAGAUGAAAGCAUUCACUCAGAAAGACAGAGUCCCAUUUCUGUUCAAAGCACUUCAGAAUGAAAGUCAUUCCAGUUGAAGUUUCCCUUUGGCAAACAGCUGCUCUCACCAAAGGAACCUAUUUCAAGUCAUCAGCCGCAGCUUCAGAAUUUCUCUCUUGAGCCAAAGGAAAUUAGAGCUUUCUCUAACCUUGUUAAAAAAGGAGCACAUACAAUCAGGAUACAUAAACCUUGGUAAAGAAUUAGCCAAGUUGGCAGAGGAAUCAGAUACCCCAGACCUUGAGGUAGGUAAGCUUUCUCUAAAGACCCUGAUGGUAAAUAUUUAAGGUCUUCCAGGUCAUAUUUGAUCUGUCAU